This 134-nucleotide ribosomal RNA is filed under the name Austroafricana parva. Its description in RNAcentral is "partial 18S ribosomal RNA". It matches the Rfam family "Eukaryotic small subunit ribosomal RNA", at positions 1699 to 1830 of the family's 1831-position model. Lineage: Eukaryota; Fungi; Ascomycota; Dothideomycetes; Mycosphaerellales; Teratosphaeriaceae. The record is from RNAcentral.
CAGUGAGGCCUUCGGACUGGCCCAGGGAGGUCGGCAACGACCACCCAGGGCCGGAAAGUUCGUCAAACUUGGUCAUUUAGAGGAAGCUAAAGUCGUAACAAGGUCUCCGUAGGUGAACCUGCGGAGGGAUCAUU